This 72-nucleotide transfer RNA is filed under the name Acetilactobacillus jinshanensis. RNAcentral describes it as "tRNA-Lys". The stretch from base 6 to 65 matches the Rfam family "tRNA", at positions 7 to 64 of the family's 71-position model. Rfam says of the family: Transfer RNA (tRNA) molecules are approximately 80 nucleotides in length. Their secondary structure includes four short double-helical elements and three loops (D, anti-codon, and T loops). RNAcentral also lists the same sequence under 1 other name. The record is from RNAcentral. Lineage: Bacteria; Bacillati; Bacillota; Bacilli; Lactobacillales; Lactobacillaceae.
GAGGAUUAGCUCAGUUGGGAGAGCAUCUGACUUUUAAUCAGAGGGUCAAGGGUUCAAAUCCCUUACGGCUCA